UUUAUGGAGAGUUUGAUCCUGGCUCAGGAUGAACGCUGGCGGCGUGCCUAAUACAUGCAAGUCGAGCGAACGGACGAGAAGCUUGCUUCUCUGAUGUUAGCGGCGGACGGGUGAGUAACACGUGGAUAACCUACCUAUAAGACUGGGAUAACUUCGGGAAACCGGAGCUAAUACCGGAUAAUAUUUUGAACCGCAUGGUUCAAAAGUGAAAGACGGUCUUGCUGUCACUUAUAGAUGGAUCCGCGCUGCAUUAGCUAGUUGGUAAGGUAACGGCUUACCAAGGCAACGAUGCAUAGCCGACCUGAGAGGGUGAUCGGCCACACUGGAACUGAGACACGGUCCAGACUCCUACGGGAGGCAGCAGUAGGGAAUCUUCCGCAAUGGGCGAAAGCCUGACGGAGCAACGCCGCGUGAGUGAUGAAGGUCUUCGGAUCGUAAAACUCUGUUAUUAGGGAAGAACAUAUGUGUAAGUAACUGUGCACAUCUUGACGGUACCUAAUCAGAAAGCCACGGCUAACUACGUGCCAGCAGCCGCGGUAAUACGUAGGUGGCAAGCGUUAUCCGGAAUUAUUGGGCGUAAAGCGCGCGUAGGCGGUUUUUUAAGUCUGAUGUGAAAGCCCACGGCUCAACCGUGGAGGGUCAUUGGAAACUGGAAAACUUGAGUGCAGAAGAGGAAAGUGGAAUUCCAUGUGUAGCGGUGAAAUGCGCAGAGAUAUGGAGGAACACCAGUGGCGAAGGCGACUUUCUGGUCUGUAACUGACGCUGAUGUGCGAAAGCGUGGGGAUCAAACAGGAUUAGAUACCCUGGUAGUCCACGCCGUAAACGAUGAGUGCUAAGUGUUAGGGGGUUUCCGCCCCUUAGUGCUGCAGCUAACGCAUUAAGCACUCCGCCUGGGGAGUACGACCGCAAGGUUGAAACUCAAAGGAAUUGACGGGGACCCGCACAAGCGGUGGAGCAUGUGGUUUAAUUCGAAGCAACGCGAAGAACCUUACCAAAUCUUGACAUCCUUUGACAACUCUAGAGAUAGAGCCUUCCCCUUCGGGGGACAAAGUGACAGGUGGUGCAUGGUUGUCGUCAGCUCGUGUCGUGAGAUGUUGGGUUAAGUCCCGCAACGAGCGCAACCCUUAAGCUUAGUUGCCAUCAUUAAGUUGGGCACUCUAAGUUGACUGCCGGUGACAAACCGGAGGAAGGUGGGGAUGACGUCAAAUCAUCAUGCCCCUUAUGAUUUGGGCUACACACGUGCUACAAUGGACAAUACAAAGGGCAGCGAAACCGCGAGGUCAAGCAAAUCCCAUAAAGUUGUUCUCAGUUCAGAUUGUAGUCUGCAACUCGACUACAUGAAGCUGGAAUCGCUAGUAAUCGUAGAUCAGCAUGCUACGGUGAAUACGUUCCCGGGUCUUGUACACACCGCCCGUCACACCACGAGAGUUUGUAACACCCGAAGCCGGUGGAGUAACCUUUUAGGAGCUAGCCGUCGAAGGUGGGACAAAUGAUUGGGGUGAAGUCGUAACAAGGUAGCCGUAUCGGAAGGUGCGGCUGGAUCACCUCCUUUCU
This 1554-nucleotide ribosomal RNA is filed under the name Staphylococcus aureus. RNAcentral's name for it is "16S ribosomal RNA". It matches the Rfam family "Bacterial small subunit ribosomal RNA". Lineage: Bacteria; Bacillati; Bacillota; Bacilli; Caryophanales; Staphylococcaceae. The record is from RNAcentral.